CCGAGGUGAGAGCGGCGGAGGGUGAUAUGUCUGGACUGCUGAUGGGAGGGGAUACUACUGAACGGUAGCUAUACGCAUAACGUCGCAAGACAAAGAGGGGACNUUCGGGCUCUUGCCAUCAGAUGUGCCCAGAUGGAUUACUAUAGUGGGUAACGGCUCACCUAGCGACGAUCCCUACUGGUCUGAAGGAUGACCACCACACUGGAACUGAGACACGGUCCAGACUCCUACGGGAGGCAGCAGUGGGGAAUAUUGCACAAUGGGCGCAAGCCUGAUGCAGCCAUGCCGCGUGUAUGAAGAAGGCCUUCGGGUUGUAAAGUACUUUCAGCGGGGAGGAAGGUGUUGUGGUUAAUAACCACAGCAAUUGACGUUACCCGCAGAAAAGCACCGGCUAACUCCGUGCCAGCAGCCGCGGUAAUACGGAGGGUGCAAGCGUUAAUCGGAAUUACUGGGCGUAAAGCGCACGCAGGCGGUCUGUCAAGUCGGAUGUGAAAUCCCCGGGCUCAACCUGGGAACUGCAUUCGAAACUGGCAGGCUAGAGUCUUGUAAGGGGGGUAAAUUCCAGGUGUACGGGUGAAAUGCGUAAGAUCUGGAGGAAUA
Molecule: ribosomal RNA, 600 nt
Filed under: uncultured bacterium
Lineage: Bacteria
Description: bacterial SSU rRNA
Rfam family: Bacterial small subunit ribosomal RNA
Source: RNAcentral